UACGUAGGGGGCAAGCGUUGUUCGGAAUUACUGGGCGUAAAGGGCGCGUAGGCGGCACGGCAAGUCAGGAGUGAAAGCCCUGGGCUCAACCCGGGAACUGCUUUUGAAACUGCCGAGCUAGAGUGCGGAAGGGGCAACUGGAAUUCCCAGUGUAGCGGUGAAAUGCGUAGAUAUUGGGAAGAACACCUGAGGCGAAGGCGGGUUGCUGGGCCGACACUGACGCUGAGGCGCGAAAGCGUGGGGAACAAACAGG
RNAcentral lists this ribosomal RNA (253 nucleotides) under uncultured bacterium. RNAcentral describes it as "partial 16S ribosomal RNA". It matches the Rfam family "Bacterial small subunit ribosomal RNA", at positions 524 to 776 of the family's 1533-position model. The record is from RNAcentral.